Molecule: ribosomal RNA, 412 nt
Filed under: Neisseria sicca
Lineage: Bacteria; Pseudomonadati; Pseudomonadota; Betaproteobacteria; Neisseriales; Neisseriaceae
Description: bacterial SSU rRNA
Rfam family: Bacterial small subunit ribosomal RNA
Source: RNAcentral
AUUGAACGCUGGCGGCAUGCUUUACACAUGCAAGUCGGACGGCAGCACAGAGAAGCUUGCUUCUUGGGUGGCGAGUGGCGAACGGGUGAGUAACAUAUCGGAACGUACCGGGCAGUGGGGGAUAACUAAUCGAAAGAUUAGCUAAUACCGCAUAUCUUCUGAGGAAGAAAGCAGGGGACCAUUUGGCCUUGCGCUGUUUGAGCGGCCGAUAUCUGAUUAGCUAGUUGGUGGGGUAAAGGCCUACCAAGGCGACGAUCAGUAGCGGGUCUGAGAGGAUGAUCCGCCACACUGGGACUGAGACACGGCCCAGACUCCUACGGGAGGCAGCAGUGGGGAAUUUUGGACAAUGGGCGCAAGCCUGAUCCAGCCAUGCCCGCGUGUCUGAAAGAAAGGCCCUUCGGGUUGUAAAAGG